Paramuricea clavata is the source of this 203-nucleotide non-coding RNA. NCBI's taxonomy places the organism in Eukaryota, Metazoa, Cnidaria, Anthozoa, Malacalcyonacea, Plexauridae. The record is from the annotation of a GenBank genome assembly.
AGCUGAUUUUUCGGGAAAAUUGUAACUUUGCGUGAAUAGUUAAGGGGCUUAAACUAAACCAAAUUGUCUGAAAUUUUGUACAGUAAUUAAAAUCCGGACAAAUUGUCCAUCUGUUAUCUCAAAAUAUGAUUGCAGCUUUUAAAUUUUGUGCGCAAGCCAUUUUUAUUUUGUUGGAAAAGACACACCCCCCUGGUUCACAAAAC